CAUGAAGGUACUUUGUGUGAUUUCUCACAUGUUCAGGGCAGACCCACAGGACUCUUGUGUGCUUUGGAGAUGACACGAGUGUUUGAAAGGCACACAGCUGCACAGCCAGCUGGGGGCUGUCUGUCUGAAAGUAACGGCCUCUUGGUUCUCAGCUCAGAGAGUUCUGUCACAGAGGUGUAGCAGGUGUGAGUGCUGUCGGCACCAGGAUCCUGCUUCCUGUUAGCCACAGACAGAGAGGAGGAACAUCCAGCAAGUGCCUUCAUGCAGAGCCCUAUUUCUGCCAGUGGCAAUAUAAAUGCAGCAGCUGAAGAGGAAGCAAAGUCUUGGCCCUCUGCUCUAGCCAGCACCUUGGAAACGUUAACAAAGAGAACAAAUUGCCACUGUGUUUGCAAAGCUCUGCCAGGCACCUCUCCUUCUCAAUUUUAUUUUCCAUUACCGGAAGUGGAGUUAAAGAAUGAAAGGGAAACACAGAGGGGAAAGAAAUGAGAGUGGAAAUGAUCAUGACAAGAAAUUUUCCCAGCUGCUUAAAUAACCCCUGAAGAGUGAGGCAAGUUCCAUUUUCCUGUGUUAGCUGCCCAGAAAGCUGUGUGCCGAGGCUCUUGAGUUCAGCGUAUGCUGUUACUGGUUCAGGUGUUCCAGAGUGGAGAAAGAAAGUCCGACAUCAUUUGCAUCAGUUUCAGAUGGAAGGUGGAAAAGUCGAAUUUGACCCAAUUUCAGAAAAUCUGACCUCAUCCUGAUCCCAUGCCAAGACCAAAGAGUUGCUCUGUUUACCUACUGUUGACGCAAUACUUAAACUCAGAAGGUUUCCGAUAGCCUUUUUGGAUGGAGAAGAGAAAAAGCAGUGCUGGAACAGGAACUUCAGCCUGAAACGUAAUUUAAGAGUUUCCCACCACAGGCAGCAUGUUCAACCACACAGAACUGAGGAAGUAACUCAUAACUACCAGG
Molecule: long non-coding RNA, 945 nt
Organism: Gallus gallus (chicken)
Lineage: Eukaryota; Metazoa; Chordata; Aves; Galliformes; Phasianidae
Source: Ensembl